This 82-nucleotide ribosomal RNA is filed under the name Bacillus pumilus. RNAcentral's name for it is "partial 23S ribosomal RNA". It matches the Rfam family "Bacterial large subunit ribosomal RNA", at positions 1110 to 1185 of the family's 2925-position model. The record is from RNAcentral. Lineage: Bacteria; Bacillati; Bacillota; Bacilli; Caryophanales; Bacillaceae.
AAGCAGCCACCAUUUAAAGAGUGCGUAAUAGCUCACUGGUCGAGUGACUCUGCGCCGAAAAUGUACCGGGGCUAAACCUGUC